AGCGAACGCUGGCGGCAGGCCUAACACAUGCAAGUCGAACGGAUCCUUCGGGAUUAGUGGCGGACGGGUGAGUAACACGUGGGAACGUGCCCUUUGGUUCGGAACAACUCAGGGAAACUUGAGCUAAUACCGGAUGGGCCCUUCGGGGGAAAGAUUUAUCGCCAUUGGAGCGGCCCGCGACUGAUUAGCUAGUUGGUGAGGUAACGGCCCACCAAGGCGACGAUCAGUAGCUGGUCUGAGAGGAUGAUCAGCCACACUGGGACUGAGACACGGCCCAGACUCCUACGGGAGGCAGCAGUAGGGAAUCUUGCGCAAUGAGCGAAAGCCUGACGCAGCCAUGCCGCGUGAAUGAUGAAGGUCUUAGGAUUGUAAAAUUCUUUCAGCGGGGACGAUAAUGACGGUACCCGCAGAAGAAGCACCGGCUAACUUCGUG
RNAcentral lists this ribosomal RNA (433 nucleotides) under uncultured bacterium. Its description in RNAcentral is "partial 16S ribosomal RNA". It matches the Rfam family "Bacterial small subunit ribosomal RNA", at positions 29 to 507 of the family's 1533-position model. The record is from RNAcentral.